This 342-nucleotide ribosomal RNA is filed under the name Triticum aestivum (bread wheat). RNAcentral describes it as "partial small subunit ribosomal RNA". The record is from RNAcentral. Lineage: Eukaryota; Viridiplantae; Streptophyta; Magnoliopsida; Poales; Poaceae.
AUGAAGAGUAAAAUCCGAAAAGUUAACAAAAAGAGCAAACAUGGACAUUGUCGACAAACAUUGGUACACCCGAGGAGACCAUGGAGAACCCAAGGACCAAGGCCAAGCGUGCGCGGAAGCGAAGGAAGGAGAAGGAAAAAGAGACAGCUACUACAGGCCUCGGACAUCCGGCCCCAGCCCGGACAUCCGGCCCGACCCCCGGAAAUCCGGCGCCCAUCACAGAAGACACCCGAAGCUGAACCAAGUCAGCCCGGACAUCCGGCCCCCAGGCCCGGACAUCCGGCCCGUCGUGAGCCGCCGGACAUCCGGCCCAGCUCCCGGAAAUCCGGUGCCCCAUCAUAG